RNAcentral lists this ribosomal RNA (253 nucleotides) under uncultured bacterium. RNAcentral describes it as "partial 16S ribosomal RNA". It matches the Rfam family "Bacterial small subunit ribosomal RNA", at positions 524 to 776 of the family's 1533-position model. The record is from RNAcentral.
UACGAACCGUCCAAACGUUACUCGGAAUCACUGGGCUUAAAGGGUGCGUAGGCCGCUCGGAGGGUGGGAUGUGAAAUCCCCCGGCUCAACCGGGGAAUAGCGUCCCAAACCGCCGGGCUUGAGGGAGACAGAGGUGAGCGGAACUGAUGGUGGAGCGGUGAAAUGCGUUGAUAUCAUCAGGAACACCAGUGGCGAAAGCGGCUCACUGGGUCUUUCCUAACGCUGAGGGACGAAAGCUAGGGGAGCGAACGGG